GAGAUUAAAUUUGAGAACUUCAUUUUGAAAAUAAAGAAUAAUCAAAACAAUUUUAUAUAUUGAGUGGCUUUGCAAAACUAAUUUUCUACUAGAUGUAAUGAAAUUAUAGAUGGCAUUACUGUUCUCAGUCAUCCCUUUAGUUUGUUUUAAAAUCAGUCAUAUUUCUAAGGUUUUAUUUAUAUAUUAUCCCCAUAAAAAGGCAGAUCAACUAUGUAAUCUUCAUUAUUAAUAUGAUGACCUAACACAUUAUGCAGGUGCUCAGUUGCUGAGGUUAGCAGGUCAGAACUGAUCAAUGAAAAAAUUCAUAGUGGACUCCACCUGCCAUUUUAAAGCAGUGGAACAAAAGAGAAAUGAAAACAACACAGUAUUAAUCUAUCAUCUACCUUUUAACAAAUAGCUGAUUGAAACACAUACACUGUAUCUAUCAUCUAUCUACCCAUUUAUAUUUACAUAUAUAUUAUAUAUCUUACAUAUUAGAUACAUACUAUACACAUUAAGAUGAGGAACACAUAAUCAUCUAGUAUAAAAAAUAGCUAAAUCAUUGUGAUAAGUUCCAAGAAGGACAAGAACAGGGUGCUAUGUUUGUGUAUAAUAUGAGGAUCAUGGUUUAAAUAAGUUGGUAACUAAGUACUGGAAUUAUUGAUGAUGUUAUUUAUGUUUGAAUUAUAAGGUUAUGGAAUCCCAGUACCGGAAGUGAUCUUUAAAAUCAUCUAGUCCAACAACUCAUUCACUGCUUGAAUUUUUCUUAUUAUUCGUUUGUUCAAUGCUGGUAUUUGACUAUUUUUUCACUUAAAAACACAGCAUUUUUGUGUAUUUCAACAUAAUACAAACAUUUAUUAAGUUUAGUGCUGGGUAAGGACCACAUAAUAUGGAUUAGUCAAGACAAUGCUACCCAACUCUUUAUACAGGGGAGAAAUGUAAAACCAAAUAAUUAUAACAUAGUGAUUAUUUGUAGAAAUAAAAUGGCUAAAGUGGCCUCACUUAUCCAAAAUGAACAGGCUUGGUGCUGAGUUGAGUGGUCAAAUUGUGUGAUCUAAUCCAUCAGUUCAAAACUCCAUCAAACCCUAAGAGACUAUUCCUAGCCAAUAAGCCAAUUCACUGCACAGACAUGAAUUUCAGCCACUUUCUAGCUUGAGCUCAUGGCUAAAUAAUGCAGCAUUUACUCGUGCUUCUCCAGCUUCUUGGAGAACUCACUCAUGCUGCAGGAGAAGAUUAAAAUUUUAUCAGUCAUUUCAGUCUCUAUCCCAAAAGCUGCGUUUCCUUGGCCAUGGCACCACAGCACAUGGCAUUAGGUUCAUAGACAUUGAAGGUUAAGUAGAAAUUACUCUGAGAAGCAACUUCUACUGACCACGAUCCCACCUGUAGAAGCAGGUCCUAACUGGGUAAAUGAUGAAAGGACUAUCUUUCCUUGGCUUUUAAUUCUAUUGGCUUCAGUAAGUUACUUGAAACUGCACAAGAUGGAGAUGAAUUCCUUAAUGUUCUUAUUUCAGCACAUAACAUACACAGUGCUAGGCUCUGGCGUCAGAAAAUAGAUAUCCUAUGGCUCCUGUCCUUAAGUUAUGCUAAAGUCCUCCUAAGUCUAAAUACUUUAAAAAGGUUUGAUGAGUGAAAUAUAUCCAUCCAUCCAUCCAUGCAUCCAUCCAUCCAUCCAUCCAUCCACCAUUUGCUAAGUACUGACUAAUGUCAGGCAUUUUCCUAAACUCUGGGGAUAAGUGGGAAAUAAGACAAAGUCCCUGCUGCCACCCUACCCUUACCCUGUAUAUAUUAUUGGAAAAGUAUACUGAAUUUUCAAAAGGACAUUCUACUUAUGUGCUUUUUUCAUUUGUUUCAGCAACUGGAGAGAGCUGUGUCACUCAGAAUCUGAGUGGUGGCAGAGACUAUACCUGCCUUGUUCGCUGCUGUAUCUGCAACAGAUAAGAAAAUACUAUCCACAUCUAAGAUUAUUUUUCACUUCGACAUGCUUCACCUGAGUCAAGAAAGUGUUUCUCUAAUGCAUUUUAGACGUCUCCUAUCAGUCAUUUGCUCAACUACCAGUCACUUACCCAGCCUGCAAUUAUGCACAAAACAACCUGCUAUGGUGAUUAACAAGACAUUAUCGUUGACUUUCUACUACGAAAUAUGAGAAUCUAAAUCCUUCCUCCUCCAUCACUACUCCAGUUUAUAUGAUUAUCUUUUUGUCACCAGAGACAAUUUGAAAUUUCAUGGGCUGGUCGAACGUCUUGGCUCACGCUUGCAAUCCCAGCACUUUGGGAGGCCAAGGCAGGCAGAUCACAAGGUUAAGAGAUCAAGGCCCUUCUAGCCAACAUGGUGAAACCUGUCUCUACUAAAAUACAAAAAUUGGCUGGGCAUGGUGGUGCACACCUGUAGUCCUAGCUAUCUGGGAGGCUGAGUGGAAGAAUUGCUUGAACCUGGGAGGCGGAGGUUGCAGUGAGCUGAGAUUGUGCCAUUGCACUCCAGCCUGGCAACAGAGUGAGACUGUCUCAAAAUAAAAAUAAAAUAAAAUAAAAUUUCACGAACUGUGCCUUGU
Callithrix jacchus (white-tufted-ear marmoset) is the source of this 2527-nucleotide long non-coding RNA. RefSeq lists it as uncharacterized. NCBI's taxonomy places the organism in Eukaryota, Metazoa, Chordata, Mammalia, Primates, Cebidae. The record is from RefSeq and is a predicted model, not a curated record.